GUGCGAGCGUGUCCGGAAUACUGGGCGUAAAGAGCUCGAUACGUGGUUUGUCGCGUUGUUCGUGAAAUCUCACGGCUUAACUGUGAGCGUGCGGGCGAUACGGGCAGACUUGAGUACUGCAGGGGAGACUGGAAUUCCUGGUGUAGCGGUGGAAUGCGCAGAUAUCAGGAGGAACACCGGUGGCGAAGGCGGGUCUCUGGGCAGUAACUGACGCUGAGGAGCGAAAGCGUGGGGAGCGAACAGGAUUAGAUACCCUGGUAGUCCACGCCGUAAACGGUGGGUACUAGGUGUGGGUUUCCUUCCUUGGGAUCCGUGCCGUAGCUAACGCAUUAAGUACCCCGCCUGGGGAGUACGGCCGCAAGGCUAAAACUCAAAGAAAUUGACGGGGGCCCGCACAAGCGGCGGAGCAUGUGGAUUAAUUCGAUGCAACGCGAAGAACCUUACCUGGGUUUGACAUGCACAGGACGCCGGCAGAGAUGUCGGUUCCCUUGUGGCCUGUGUGCAGGUGGUGCAUGGCUG
RNAcentral lists this ribosomal RNA (519 nucleotides) under uncultured bacterium. RNAcentral describes it as "bacterial SSU rRNA". It matches the Rfam family "Bacterial small subunit ribosomal RNA", at positions 532 to 1051 of the family's 1533-position model. The record is from RNAcentral.